This is a long non-coding RNA of Onychostoma macrolepis, 2288 nucleotides long. RefSeq lists it as uncharacterized. The record is from RefSeq and is a predicted model, not a curated record. NCBI's taxonomy places the organism in Eukaryota, Metazoa, Chordata, Actinopteri, Cypriniformes, Cyprinidae. The transcript has 5 exons.
UCUCGCGAGCAGCGGAUUACUUGUAACAGACAGUAAAUCAGCCUCUUUUCCGUAGUGUCUUCUGCAGGAUGGAUAUAAAAGUAUAAAACACGUUUUGCUUUGACAACAUCGUUCAUAUGUGAACUAUAACAAUUAAAGCACAAAGACAUAACAACAUUACACUCCGAGACCUUUCACAAGUGCUACAAAAGAGAAGAAACGCUUUCCGGAAGAGAAGUUCAUCAGGCGAGGUGGAGCGUUGACUUUGUCCAGUCAUCAAGUUUAGCGGAGAGCAUCAACCCCUAAUUGACAUGAGGAAAAAAUCAAUGAAAAGUGUUCAGCGUUUGCAACAGAGGAAGCAUUAGGAAAGAGGAGAAGAGAGAAAGUGAAAAGGCACUCAACAGAUGUUGGUGAGACUUUAUUUCUGGAAAUGCUUUAAAGGUCACUCACAUUCUAGUUAGCCACAAAUGUAAACCUGAUUUUAGUCUUUAAAUGUGAUUAAUAACUCCAGCUACUUGUAGGCCUACAGUCCUGUAUAUUUCACACUAAAUUGUGAUGCAGCCUAAAUCAUAAUCACACCAUGUUCAGUUGUUGGCCAGAGGAGAACUGAUCCCUAAACAUACUUUCUCCCAAUGUUUUUUUUUCUCCAUUCUGUCACCUGACAGAGUUUGGGUUCCUUGCCACUGUCGACUUUUGGCGUGCUUAUUUGGGGACUAAUAAUAUUCAGCAGUAUUAUUGAUCUGACUCCUCUGGCACUAUUGGAUGAGGACUGAACUGAGCUAGAUGAUGAUACCACUGCUAUCUAGAUGCAUUGAAAUUAUUUUAUAUUUGAUGAUUUUUAUACACUGAUUUCAACUGAACAAUGACACGUUUUACUGUUUAGAGCUGCUUCACAGCAGAUGUGAAUUCUGUUUGCAUCAUUAUAUAUAAAUAAUGGUUACUUGACUUAAAUUGGUUCAAAUCUUCAAAAAAAGUGCAUGAAACAGGCAACCUGAAUAAACACAAAAUACAGUUUAUUAAUGAUAACUGUAUUUGCCUUUGUUUUAUGUUAAUAUUCUUAGGAAUAUCUGACAAUAUUUAGUACUGGAUAUAUUCAAAAAUAGGAUAAAUCAGGAUUUUUUCCCCCCCACAGCACUGUACACCAGCAUUUAUGUUCAGUAGUGUGACAUUAAUGUGUGGAAAUGGACAUUUUAUCAGUGUGAUUUUCAGGAAAAUGCACUAGUAACAACUAAAAAAAGACGACCAAAAAUAUAAUUCAACAGAAGAUGAUGGCUGUGGUGAAACAAGCACUCAAAUAAUGAAACUAAGACCAGUGUGAGUGCUGGAGAAAUCAAGUCCUCUGUCGUCUCAGCCAUGGAAGAGAUCUUCAGACAUGAAGAGAUUGAGGAGUUAAAUGAAGUCAAAGAGCUAAAAGAAGAUUUACAAUAGUGCCAUUUCAGUAUGAAAACAGAGAGAGCUGAGGGAAUGGAAAGACUACAUCAAAAAUAGUGUUUCCACAUCUGAGAUAAAGGCAGUCAUAAGAACCAAGCAGAACAAUGAGGAUAAGCUCUUCAAAAGAUGAAACCUGCCUGAAUAAUGCGGGAAGAAGUUUGAAGAAAAGAAUUUUUUUCUGGCUUUCCUGCCUCUUUGGAACAUUUCCGUUCACAGAGACUGUGGAGAGAUGGUGUGCAGCUUCAUGACAUUUGAAGUUUACUGCCGAUGGAGAGCUUCUGGGACACUGACAAACACUACUUUCCAGCAAGUUCAUUUGUAGUUCUUUUUUUUAUUAUUAUUAUUUAUUAAUUUAUUUAUUUAGUCAAACUUGCAUUCACUAAUGCUGGAGUAAGAUUUUAGAAGAAACCUUUCGGUCCUGUUUAAUGUUGGUGCUAGUAAAGGUUUGAGAAUUUAUGGCCUGGUUUCACAGACAGGACUUAGACUAAGCCAAGAUUAGGCCAUCGUUCAAUUAGGACACUUAAGUCAUUUUCAUUAACAUGCCUUAGAAAAAACAUUACUGGUGUGCAUCUUGAGACAAAACUAAGGUACUGAUAUUUUAAAAGAUCAGUCAGUGCAAGUUUCUUUCAGUUGAAACAGCUCAGAAUUACAUUCAAUUAAAUUCAUGAGCUUUAUUGGCAUGACUUGCACAGUAUUGCCAAAGCAUAAUUAUAGAAUUACAAUUUAGUCUGGUCCACUUUUUUUGGAAAUAGGCUCAUUCUCCAACUCCCCCAGAGUUAAUAAGUUGAGUUUUACCGUUUUUGAAUCCAUUCAGCCGAUCUCCGGAUCUGGCGAUAGCACUUUUAGCAUAGCUUAGCAUAGAUCAUUGAAUCCGAUUA